Molecule: ribosomal RNA, 344 nt
Filed under: Hyperolius ocellatus (golden-eyed reed frog)
Lineage: Eukaryota; Metazoa; Chordata; Amphibia; Anura; Hyperoliidae
Description: partial 12S ribosomal RNA
Rfam family: Bacterial small subunit ribosomal RNA
Source: RNAcentral
CGCCAAAGAAUUACGAGCGCAAGCUUAAAACUUAAAGGACUUGACGGUGUCCCAUCUACCUAGAGGAGCCUGUUCUAUAAUCGAUAACCCUCGCUAUACCUCACCCUUUCUAGCUUAUCAGUCUGUAUACUUCCGCCGUAAGCUUACCGUAUGAAUGUAUUAGUAAGCCAAAUAGUUAAACUACCAAAACGUCAGGUCAAAGUGCAGCUUACAAAAGGGGAAGAAAUGGGCUACAAUUUCUAUUUAAGAACAUACGAAUUUAAACAAUUGAAAAUUGUUAUGAAGGCGGAUUUAGAAGUAAAGUAAAAAUAAAAUGUUUACUUUAAUUAUGCUCUGGGACGCGU